AACGAACGCUGGCGGCAUGCCUAACACAUGCAAGUCGAACGAGACCUUCGGGUCUAGUGGCGUCCGGGUGCGUAACGCGUGGGAACCUUCCCUUAGGUUCGGACUACCUCUCCGAAAGGGGUGCUAACACCGGAUAAUGUCUUCUGCCCAAAGAUUUAUCGCCCUUGGUUGGGCCCGCGUUGGAUUAGCUUGUUCGUAGGGUAAAAGCUUACUACGGCGCCGAUUCAUAGCUGGGUAGAGAGGAUGGUCAGCGACACUGGGAGUGGGAACCGGCCUAGAAUCCUACGGGAGGGAGCAGUGGGGGAUAGUGGAAAAUGGGCGAAAGCAUGAACCAGCAAUGCCGCGUGAGUGAUGAAGGCAUUAGGGUUGUAAAGCUCUUUUACCCGGGAAGAUAAUGACAGUACCGGGAGAAUAAGCUCCGGCUAACUCCGUG
RNAcentral lists this ribosomal RNA (433 nucleotides) under uncultured bacterium. Its description in RNAcentral is "partial 16S ribosomal RNA". It matches the Rfam family "Bacterial small subunit ribosomal RNA", at positions 29 to 507 of the family's 1533-position model. The record is from RNAcentral.